GAUGAAGAACGUAGCGAAAUGCGAUACGUAAUGUGAAUUGCAGAAUUCAGUGAAUCAUCGAAUCUUUGAACGCAUAUUGCGCUCUCUGGUAUUCCGGAGAGCAUGCUUGUUUGAGUAUCAGUAAACACCUCAACUUCCAUAUCUUUUUUGAAAUGGGAGUUGGACUUGAGUGAUCCCAACGCUUUUCCUCACCGAAAAGUGGCGGGUUACUUGAAAUGCAGGUGCAGCUGGACUUUUCUCUGAGCUAUAAGCAUAUCUAUUUAGUCUGCCUAAAAAACAGAUUAUUACCUUUGCUGCAGCUAACAUAAAGGAGAUUAGUUCUUGUGCUGACUGAUGCAGGAUUCACAAAGACGGCUUCGGCCGACUUUGUAAACUCGAUCUCAAAUCAAGUAAGACUACCCGCUGAACUUAAGCAUAUCACUAAGCGGAGGA
This 432-nucleotide unclassified non-coding RNA is filed under the name soil metagenome. Its description in RNAcentral is "partial contains 5.8S ribosomal RNA, internal transcribed spacer 2, and large subunit ribosomal RNA". The stretch from base 1 to 120 matches the Rfam family "5.8S ribosomal RNA", at positions 35 to 154 of the family's 154-position model. The record is from RNAcentral.